RNAcentral lists this long non-coding RNA (4787 nucleotides) under Sus scrofa (pig). RNAcentral's name for it is "lncRNA (ENSSSCG00015017536.1)". Lineage: Eukaryota; Metazoa; Chordata; Mammalia; Artiodactyla; Suidae. The record is from RNAcentral.
UUGCUAUUUCUUGGGCCGCUCCCGCGGCAUAUGGAGGUUCCCAGGCUAGGGGUUGAAUCGGAGCUGUAGCCACCGGCCUACGCCAGAGCCACAGCAACUCGGGAUCCGAGCCGCGUCUGCAACCUACACCACAGCUCACGGCAACGCCGGAUCGUUAACCCACUGAGCAAGGGCAGGGACCGAACCCGCAACCUCAUGGUUCCUAGUCGGAUUUGUUAACCACUGCGCCACGACGGGAACUCCCCAUGGAAGUUUUUAAAUCACAGUUUCAAUUUCAGUUUUUGUGAUUGGUCCGUUCAUCUUUUCUAUUUCAUCUUGGUUUAGUCUUGGAAGAUUGUACCUUUCUAAGAAUUUGUCCAUUUCUUCUAGGUUUUCCAUUUUAUUGGCGUAUAGUUGCAUAUAGUAGUCUCUUAUGAUCCUUUGUAUUUUUGUGAUGUCCAUUUUUACUUUUCCUUUUUCACUUCUAAUUUUAUUGAUUUGAAUAUUCUCUCUUUUUUUCUUGUUAAAGUCUGGCUAAGGGUUUAUCAAUUUUGUUGAUCUUUUCAAAGAACCAGCUUUUCAUUUCGUUGAUUUUUUUCUAUGGUCUUCUUCAUUUCUAUUUCAUUGAUUUAUGCUAUGAUCUUUAUGAUUCCUUUCCUUCUACCAACUUUAGGUCUUGUCUGUUCUUCUCUCUCUAGCUGCUUUAGAUGUUAAGUUAACUUGUUUAUUUGAGCUUUUUCUGUUUCCUGAGGUGGGCUUGUAUUGCUGGAAACUUUCCUCUUAGAAUGGCUUUUGCCACAUCCCAUAGGUUUUGGAGUGUCAUAUCUUUGUUGUCAUUUGCUUCUAGAUAUUUUUAAAUUUCCUCUUUGAUUUCUUCAAUGAUCCAUUGGUCGUUUAGUAACAUGUUGUUUAGUCUCCACGUGUUGGUGGUUUUUUUUUUUUUUUCUGCAGUUUUUUUCUUGUUGUUGAUUUCCAGUCAUGUAGUAUUGUGGUCAGAAAAGCUGCUUGAUAUGAUUUCAAUUUUCUAAAAGUUACUGAGUUUGAUUUGUAGCCCAGGAUGUGAUCAAUCUUAGAGAAUGUUCUUUGUGCACUUGAGAAGAAUAUGUAUUCUGCUGUUUUUGGAUGGAAUGUCCUAUAAAUAUCUAUUAAGUCCAUCUGAUCUAUUGCUUCAUUCAGGGCCUGUGUUUCCUUAUUAAUUUUUUGUCUGGAUGAUCUGUCCAUUACCGUAAGUGGGGUGUUAAAAUCCCCCACUAUUAUUGUGUUAUUGCUGAUUUCUCCUUUUAAGGUUGUUAGGAGUUGCCUUAUAUAUUGUGGUGAACCUGUGUUGGGUGCAUAGAUAUUUAAAACUGUUACAUCUUUUUUUUUGGAUUGAUCCUUUGAUCAUUAGGUAGUGACCUUCCUUGUCCCUGAAAAUAUUCUUCAUUUUAAGUCUAUUUUGUCUGUUAUGAGUAAUGCUACUCCAGCUUUCUUUUGAUUCCCGUUUGCAUGAAAUAUUUUCUUCCAUCCUCUCACUUUCAAUUUGUAUGUGUCCCUAGAAGAGAAGUGGGUCUCUUGAAGACAGUAUAUAUAUGGAUCUUGUUUUUGUAUCCAUUUAGCCAGUCUAUGUCUUUUGGUUGGGGCGUUUAGUCCAUUAACAUUUAAGGUAAUUAUUGAUAUGUAUGUUCUUAUUGACAUUGUAUUAAUUGCUUUGGAUUUGUUUUUGUUGUUGUUUUUUCUUCCCUUAUUCUCUUGUUCUCUCCUCUUCUGGUUUGAUGACUAUCUUUAGUAUUGUAUUUGCAUUCAUUUUUCUUAUUUGUGUAUGUAUCAGUCGUACAUUUUUGGCUUGCAGUUAUUUUGAAGUUUUGCUAUGAGUCUAUAUAUAUAUAUGAGAUUGUUUUAAGUUGUUGGUCCUUUAAUUUCAAGUGCAUCUCCAGUGUCCUGCAUUUGUACCCACCUCUUCUCAUGAUUUCUGAUUUGGGUGGCAUAAUUGUGCAUGGAUGAUUUUGUAUCUUUACUGUAUAUAUACCUUUACUGGUGAACCUUGUCAUUUGUGGCAUUUUUGUUUCCUGUUGUGGCCUUUUCUUUUCUGCCUAAAGAAGUUCCUUUAGUAUUUGUUGGAAAGCUGGUUUAAUGUUGCUGAAUUCUCUUAGCUUUUUCUUAUCUGUGAAGGUUUUGAUUUCUCCUUCAAAUCUGAAUGAGAUCCUUGCUGGGUAAAGUAAUCUCGGUUGGAGGUUUUUUCCUUUCAUCACAUUAAGUAUAUCAUGCCACUCCCUUCUGGCUUGCAGAGUUUCUGCUGAAAAAUCAGCUGAUAACCUUAUCAGGUUCCCUUAUAUGUUAUUUGUUUCUUUUCCCUAGCUGCUUUCAAUAUUUUCUCUUUGUCUUUAAUUUUGGUCAGUUUGAUUAAUAUGUGUCUUGGGGUGUUCCUCCUUGGGUUUAUUUUAUGUGGUACUCGUUGUGCUUUCUGGAUUUGAGUGAGUGGUUCCUUUCCCAUGUUAGGGAAGUUUUCAGCUAUUAUCUCUUGGAAUACUUUUUCUGUCCCCUUCUCUCUCUCCUCGUUCUGGCACCUCUAUAAUACGGAUGCUGGUGCAUUUAACAUUGUCCCAGAGUUCUCUGAGACUCUCUUCAUUUGUUUUCAAUAUUUUUUCUCUAUUAUAUUCCACAUCCAUAAUUUCCACUAAUCUGUCCUCCACCUCGCUUAUUCGUUCUGCCAUUUUGAGUUUUUUUUUUUAAUUUUUUGCUUUUUGGGGGUUUAUUUUGGCCACAUCCAUGGCAUGUUGAAGUUCCCAGGCCAGGGAUCAAAUCUGAGCUGCAACUGUGACCUGCGCCACAGCUGCAGUAAUGCCAAAUCCUUAACCCGCUUCACCUGGCUGAGGGUUGAAUCUGCACCUCUGCAGUGACCCAAGCCACUACAGUUGGAUCUUUAAACUCACUGUGCCACAACAGGAACUCUCAUUUUGAGUUUAUGCUUGUGUAUAAUGUUAGAGAACAUUCUGAUUUCACUCUUUUACAUGUAGAUGUCCAGUUUUCCCAGCACCACUUAUUGAAAAGACUGUCUUUUCUCUAUUGUAUAGUCUUGCUUCCUUUGUUGUGCAUUAAUUGGCUAUAGGUUCAUAGAUUUAUUUCUGGGCUUUCUAUCCUAAAUCAGUGAUCUACAUUUCUGUUCUUGUGUCAGUACCAUACUGUUUUUAAUUACUGUUGCUUUGUAGUACAGCCUGAUUUCAGAGAACCUGAUUUCUCCAUCAUUUUUCUUUCACAAGAUUUCUUUGGCUAUUCAAGGUCUUUUGUGUUUCCAUACAAAUUAAAAAACUUGUUCUAGUUCUGUGAAUAGUGCCACUGGUAAUUUAAUAGGGAUUGUAAUGAAUCUGUAGAUUGCCUUGGGUAGUAUAGUCAUUUUGAUAGCAUUGAUUCUUCCAAUCCAAGAGCAUGGUAUAUCUUUCCAUCUGUUUGUGUUAUCUUCGAUUCCUUAUCAGUGUCAUGUAGUUUUCAGAGUACAGGUCUUUUGCCUCCUCAGAUUUGUGUAUUCCUAGAUAUUUUAUUCUUUGUGAUGUGAUGGUAAAUGGGAUUAUUUCCUUAUUUUCUCUUUCUAAUCUUUCAUUGUUAGUAUAUAGAAAUGCAGUAUAUUUCUGUAUAUUAAUUUUGUAUCCUGCAGCUUUAUCAAAUUCAUUGAUGAGCUCUAGAAAUUUUCUGGUAGCUUCUUCAGGAAUUUUUAUGUAUAGAAAUGUCAUCUGCAAACAGUGACAGUUUUACUUCUUAUUUUCCAAUUUUGACCUUUUAAAUUUCUUUUUCUUCUCUAAUUUCUGUGGCCAGCACUUCCAAAAGCUAUGUUGAAUAAAAGUGGUGAGAGUUGACAUCCUUGUCUUGUUCCUGAUCUUAGAGGGAAUACUCUCUGUUUUUCACCAUUGAGUAUUAUGCUAGCUGUAUUUUUGUCAUAUAUGGGCUUUAUUAUGUUGAGGUAGAUUCCUUCCAUGCCCACUUUCUAGAAAGUUUAUAUGAUAAAUUGGAGUUGAAUUUUGUCAAAAGCUUAUUAGACUCCUAUUGAAAUUAUUCUUGAAUUUGUGCCACUCCCUUCUGGCCUGCAGAAUUUCUGCUGAAAAAUCAGCUGACAAUCUUAUGGAGAUUCCCUUGUAUUUUAUCUGUUGCUUUUCCCUUGCUGCUUUUAAUGUUCUCUCUUUAUCUUUAAUUUUUGCCAUUUUAAUUACACUGUGUUUUGGUGUGUUCCUCUUUUGGUUAAUUCUGAAUGGGACCCUCUGUGCUUCCUGGAUUUGUGUUACUACUUCCUUUCCCAGGUUAGGGAGGUUUUCAGCUAUUAUCUCUUCAAAAUAUUUCCUCAGACCAUUUUUCUCACUCUUCUCCUUCUGGGAUGCUUAUAAAGUGAAUAUUAGUGUGUUUGAUGUUGUUCCAGAGGUCUCUUAAACUGUCUUCUUUUAUUUUAAGUUUUCUGUUCAGCAGCAGUGAUUUCUACCACUUUGUCUUCCAGCUCAUUGAUUUGUUACUGUAUCACUUAGUCUACUAUUGAUUCCUUCUAUUGAUUUCAUUUCCGUUAUUGUAUUAUUCAUCUCUGUUUUUUUUCUGCCACGCCUAUGGCAUGUGGAAUUUCUCAGGCCAGGGACUGAAUCCAAGCCACAGCUAUGACAUAUGUGAAUGCUGGAUCCUUAACCUAUUAUUGCCAGGCUGGAUCAAACCUGAACUGCCAGAGACAACACUGGAUCCUUAGCCCACUGUGCCACAGCAGAAACUCCUGUUUGGUUGUACUUUAUAUUUUAUAACUGUUUCAAACUUCUAACUUCUCACUCUAUGUUCCAUUCUUCUCUCAAGUGCUUUGAUAAUCU